RNAcentral lists this ribosomal RNA (253 nucleotides) under uncultured bacterium. RNAcentral's name for it is "partial 16S ribosomal RNA". It matches the Rfam family "Bacterial small subunit ribosomal RNA", at positions 524 to 776 of the family's 1533-position model. The record is from RNAcentral.
UACGUAGGGCGCAAGCGUUGUCCGGAAUUAUUGGGCGUAAAGCGCACGUAGGCGGAUUGGUCAGUUAGGGGUGAAAUCCUGGAGCUCAACUCCAGAACUGCCUUUAAUACUGCCAGUCUCGAGUCCGGAAGAGGUAAGUGGAACUCCUAGUGUAGAGGUGGAAUUCGUAGAUAUUAGGAAGAACACCAGUGGCGAAGGCGGCUUACUGGUCCGGUACUGACGCUGAGGUGCGAAAGCGUGGGGAGCAAACAGG